This 524-nucleotide ribosomal RNA is filed under the name uncultured bacterium. RNAcentral describes it as "partial 16S ribosomal RNA". It matches the Rfam family "Bacterial small subunit ribosomal RNA", at positions 28 to 523 of the family's 1533-position model. The record is from RNAcentral.
GACGAACGCUGGCGGCGUGCCUAAUACAUGCAAGUCGAGCGCAGGAAAUCAUCCGAACCUUUCGGGGGGACGUUGAUGGAAUGAGCGGCGGACGGGUGAGUAACACGUAAAGAACCUGCCCUCAGGUCUGGGAUAACCACGAGAAAUCGGGGCUAAUACCGGAUGGGUCAUCGGACCGCAUGGUCCGAGGAUGAAAGGCGCUUCGGCGUCGCCUGGGGAUGGCUUUGCGGUGCAUUAGCUAGUUGGUGGGGUAAUGGCCCACCAAGGCGACGAUGCAUAGCCGACCUGAGAGGGUGAUCGGCCACACUGGGACUGAGACACGGCCCAGACUCCUACGGGAGGCAGCAGUAGGGAAUCUUCCACAAUGGACGAAAGUCUGAUGGAGCAACGCCGCGUGAACGAUGAAGGCCUUCGGGUCGUAAAGUUCUGUUGUAAGGGAAGAACAAGUGCCGCAGGCAAUGGCGGCACCUUGACGGUACCUUGCGAGAAAGCCACGGCUAACUACGUGCCAGCCGCCGCCGUAA